GAGUAACACGUGGGAACGUACCCUUUGGUUCGGAACAACCCAGGGAAACUUGGGCUAAUACCGAAUAAGCCCUUACGGGGAAAGAUUUAUCGCCGAAGGAUCGGCCCGCGUCUGAUUAGCUAGUUGGUGAGGUAACGGCUCACCAAGGCGACGAUCAGUAGCUGGUCUGAGAGGACGACCAGCCACACUGGAACUGAGACACGGUCCAGACUCCUACGGGAGGCAGCAGUGGGGAAUUUUGGACAAUGGGCGCAAGCCUGAUCCAGCAAUGCCGCGUGCAGGAUGAAGGCCUUCGGGUUGUAAACUGCUUUUGUACGGAACGAAACGGUCUGCCCUAAUACGGUGGGCUAAUGACGGUACCGUAAGAAUAAGCACCGGCUAACUACGUGCCAGCAGCCGCGGUAAUACGUAGGGUGCGAGCGUUAAUCGGAAUUACUGGGCGUAAAGCGUGCGCAGGCGGUUAUAUAAGACAGAUGUGAAAUCCCCGGGCUCAACCUGGGACCUGCAUUUGUGACUGUAUAGCUAGAGUACGGUAGAGGGGGAUGGAAUUCCGCGUGUAGCAGUGAAAUGCGUAGAUAUGCGGAGGAACACCGAUGGCGAAGGCAAUCCCCUGGACCUGUACUGACGCUCAUGCACGAAAGCGUGGGGAGCAAA
This 654-nucleotide ribosomal RNA is filed under the name uncultured soil bacterium. RNAcentral's name for it is "bacterial SSU rRNA". It matches the Rfam family "Bacterial small subunit ribosomal RNA", at positions 108 to 772 of the family's 1533-position model. The record is from RNAcentral.